AAUUAAGUUCACACAAUGGUAGUCUGAAAUCAAUCUCCAAAAUUAGAGGUUAUUCUGAGAGGAACAUUCUACAUAUAAAGAGUGUAUAAGUUUUGAGUAUGCGAGGCCAGAUUCAAAAAUUAAGAAAGUUUGAUGCAACCAAAACCAGUGAGUAAGGGAUUAUUAGGUAAGAGGGAAUAUCAUAUAGAAUGCAAAAAGUCAGGUAAAAGGUCUUGCAAAGCUUAGCAAGGGUCAGAAUUACAUGGAAAAACAAAGAUGAGUUCGGGAAUUAGGGCUUUGAAAUCAAACUAGUUCAGGGAUGAGAAAUAAACAAGUCAAAUACUAGUGGUCUGAAAACCCCCAAAUGCUAGGGUUUUCGCCAUUAAACAGGUGUAAAGACGAAAGCAGGAAAAUCAGGCAAAAGUAAAGUCAGAGAACCCAAAUGAACUUAGAACCUUAUACAUUUCAGGAAAACAUGAUAAGGGAACAAAAUACUUAAAAAGAACUCAUAGAGUGAUGGUAGAAGAUAUCAUGGUAGAAGAUAGCAUUGUAGAAGAGAACACAUAGGAAUCAUAGGAGUCACAGUAUGGCGAAUACAGUAAGGGUAACACAUAUGAAUCACAGUAGAACAAGUAAAAUCAAAGAAACCUAAGUCGGAGAAGAUGAACAUUUUUGAAAUCAAAAUUUUAAAAAGAAACUUAGGGGAAUCGUUUGAAAAAUUUAAACUAAAUGCAGAUCUGGAGCAGAUCUAGAGAAAUUAGGAGAACCUUGAAAGGCUAGGGUUUCAGAAGAACACUAGAAGCGAGAAAGGCAUGGAAAAGGGUCUGCUCCGAGUCGAAUGAGUCAGAGAUGGACUCAUAGUGCCGGGGUCGAGCCGGAGAUGGCCAUAAAACUCGAAUCGGCGGAGAUCUGAGCGAAGGCCUUCAAGCUCGAACCUUGAAUCUUCAAGUAACAGGGGUAUGAGAGCACAUGAGGGUGAGUAUAGGCCACCCAGGACUUGGGAUGCCAUGGAUUCCGGUGAAACAGGGUGGAAACUGGCAGAGUAGGGCUAGCGUUUCGGAGAGAUUUGGAGAGAGUUUAAGAGACGAAGGAAUUCUGGGGGAGGGGGCU
RNAcentral lists this long non-coding RNA (1089 nucleotides) under Nicotiana benthamiana. RNAcentral's name for it is "long non-coding RNA (NBEN_LNC039929)". The record is from RNAcentral. Lineage: Eukaryota; Viridiplantae; Streptophyta; Magnoliopsida; Solanales; Solanaceae.